This is a long non-coding RNA of Calypte anna (Anna's hummingbird), 209 nucleotides long. RefSeq lists it as uncharacterized. The record is from RefSeq and is a predicted model, not a curated record. Lineage: Eukaryota; Metazoa; Chordata; Aves; Apodiformes; Trochilidae. The transcript is spliced from 4 exons.
GUACUGAGCUGGAUUACUGUUGCAAUAGUAAUCCUGCUCAGUACGAGAGGAAUCGCAGGUUCAGACCCCUGGUGCGUGCGCUUGGCUGAGGAGCCACUGGCGCGAGGCUACCUUCUGCGGGCUUAUGACUGAACGCCUCUAAGUCAGAAUCCCGCCUAGACGUAGCGAUAAGGGAACGUGAGCUGGGUUUAGACCGUCGUGAAGGGAAA